Molecule: ribosomal RNA, 253 nt
Filed under: uncultured bacterium
Lineage: Bacteria
Description: partial 16S ribosomal RNA
Rfam family: Bacterial small subunit ribosomal RNA
Source: RNAcentral
UACAGAGGGUGCGAGCGUUAAUCGGAAUUACUGGGCGUAAAGCGCACGUAGGUGGCGACGUAAGUCGGGUGUGAAAGCCCCGGGCUCAACCUGGGAAUUGCAUUCGAGACUGCAUUGCUGGAGUACGGAAGAGGAAGGCGGAAUUCCCGGUGUAGCGGUGAAAUGCGUAGAUAUCUGGAGGAACACCGGUGGCGAAGGCGGCAUCCUGGACCGAGAUUGACGCUGAUGCGCGAAAGCCAGGGGAGCAAACGGG